Molecule: ribosomal RNA, 456 nt
Filed under: uncultured bacterium
Lineage: Bacteria
Description: bacterial SSU rRNA
Rfam family: Bacterial small subunit ribosomal RNA
Source: RNAcentral
UACGGGAGGCAGCAGUGGGGAAUAUUGCACAAUGGGCGAAAGCCUGAUGCAGCUAUGCCGCGUGUAUGAAGAAGGCCUUAGGGUUGUAAAGUACUUUCAUCGGGGAGGAAAAAACAAAACUAAUAAUUUUAUUUCUUGACGUUACCCGAAAAAGAAGCACCGGCUAACUCCGUGCCAGCAGCCGCGGUAAUACGGAGGGUGCUAGCGUUAAUCAGAAUUACUGGGCGUAAAGAGCACGUAGGUGGUUUUUUUAAGUCAGAUGUGAAUCCCUGGGCUUAACCCUAGGAACUGCAUUUUGAAACUGAAAUACUAGAGUAUCGUAGAGGGAGGUAGAAUUCUAGGUGUAGCGGUGAAAUGCGUAGAUAUCUGGAGGAAUACCUGUGGCGAAAGCGGCCUCCUAAACGAAUACUGACACUGAGGUGCGAAAGCGUGGGGAGCAAACAGGGAUUAGAUACC